Molecule: transfer RNA, 75 nt
Filed under: Bacillota bacterium
Lineage: Bacteria; Bacillati; Bacillota
Description: tRNA-Thr
Rfam family: tRNA
About the family: Transfer RNA (tRNA) molecules are approximately 80 nucleotides in length.
Source: RNAcentral
GCCGGCGUAGCUCAGAGGUAGAGCAGCUCACUCGUAAUGAGCAGGUCGUGGGUUCGAUUCCCACCGCCGGCUCCA